AAAACUUUUUCGAAAGAAAAAAAUCUGUUCUUUAUCAGUUUUAAUAUCUGAUACGUCCCCCAUCCGGGGACUACAUAUUAAAUGGAUUUUUAGAUCACGGAGCUGGAGCCGGGGCUUGCUCCGUCCACUCCAUGCAUCGGCCUGGUAUUGCAGUGUCUCCAGGAACGGUGUGCUUUCC
This 178-nucleotide small nuclear RNA is filed under the name Carassius auratus (goldfish). Its description in RNAcentral is "U2 spliceosomal RNA (ENSCARG00000026060.1)". It matches the Rfam family "U2 spliceosomal RNA". From Rfam's summary of the family: U2 is a small nuclear RNA (snRNA) component of the spliceosome (involved in pre-mRNA splicing). Complementary binding between U2 snRNA (in an area lying towards the 5' end but 3' to hairpin I) and the branchpoint sequence (BPS) of the intron results the bulging out of an unpaired adenosine, on the BPS, which initiates a nucleophilic attack at the intronic 5' splice site, thus starting the first of two transesterification reactions that mediate splicing. The record is from Rfam by way of RNAcentral. Lineage: Eukaryota; Metazoa; Chordata; Actinopteri; Cypriniformes; Cyprinidae.